This is a non-coding RNA of Coturnix japonica (Japanese quail), 691 nucleotides long. The record is from RefSeq and is a predicted model, not a curated record. NCBI's taxonomy places the organism in Eukaryota, Metazoa, Chordata, Aves, Galliformes, Phasianidae.
GACCUGACUCCUGGCCACAGAAGGACAGAGCCCUUGAGCAGUGCUGCAGCAGCACCCAACCCUUGCAGGGAAGUGCCGGCACUGCCACUGCCCCAGGGAAGCUACCCUUGUGAUGCAGCUCGUCGCAUUGUGACAUCAGCCCGUGUCACCUGGAGCUCUGUGAGGUCACCAGCACAGAGAGGGCCCCUCACAGCCAGAAAGACAUGGAGGCCCUGGAAUGUGAUCAGAGCUGGGCAACCAAGCUGCAUCAGAUGCCAUCCCAGUGUUACUGCUGUUGAAAUAUGUUAUUUGUUGCUCAACACAUCUGGCUAUCAAACAACAACUUUGAUCCUGCCCAGGCUGCUAACAGUCCUUGGAGCUUGGUGCGGAAUAACACCCAAGGUCCCUUGGGAAAGGUUACACCCAUGUGGUUUUUCUGCAGGGAGCUGCUGUGCAGAAGGAUGCUUUCUCCCCUUGCUGAUCUCUAGAUCAAGAGGAUGUAGAAUUGUCCAUGCAGCAAAAGGACUACAGGGAGUGAGCACAGACUUUCAUGGCAGGCUACUUUUUAGCCAACUCUGUCUUUAUUCUGUUUUCAGUCAACUGAUGGGAAUUACUCUUAUUUUAAAUGCCUGAGAAACAGCUGUUGGUCCAGAAGGCAAUGUUGAUUUACAAGUGCCAACUUUGUCAGACCGCAAUUAAAGGAAGGCUAGAA